CCGAAGUUAUAACAUCAAUGUUAUGAAACUGGCCAAUCAUAGUUAUUCUUCUGAAGACUGGAAUGCCUGUGAUUUACCAGUUUCUUAAUA
Molecule: long non-coding RNA, 90 nt
Organism: Trachymyrmex septentrionalis
Lineage: Eukaryota; Metazoa; Arthropoda; Insecta; Hymenoptera; Formicidae
Exons: 4
Source: RefSeq, a predicted model, not a curated record